This is a long non-coding RNA of Esox lucius (northern pike), 2727 nucleotides long. RefSeq lists it as uncharacterized. NCBI's taxonomy places the organism in Eukaryota, Metazoa, Chordata, Actinopteri, Esociformes, Esocidae. The transcript has 2 exons. The record is from RefSeq and is a predicted model, not a curated record.
GGUACAUCACAGGAGCCCGAACUCUCACCCAUCCAGCUGUUGACCUUAAUGUACACAUACUGAAUAGUGUCACCAUAAGAAGAGUGAUUAUCUCCUGGCCUGAUUCACACACACACACACACACACACACACACACACACACACGAGAGGCCCAUUCAGUGUCUUAAUGAUUUAAUAUAAUUAACAUUAGUCAUUUCUGGUGUGAAGUAUGUUCCAGUAUUGUUGUGCUUAAGAACAGCGUACCUACGGUAUAUUACCCAUAUACUACCUAUAACUACUAUAACUUUCAGGCCAUCAGCAUUCAGGAUCCAAACUACCAGGUUCAUCACAUAUGUUAGAAAAAGGGUGUGUCCUGCUGUGUGUUUGAUAGUGGUAGCCUCCCAAGCAGACCAUAAACCUCAGUGGAAAACUGGAAAGUUUAGUUAAUUUCUGUAAGGGAAAUCUAGGUGGGGGCAUGGCUGUGUUAGAUUAAUUAUAAUGUAGUCUACACCCAUAGGUCAAUGAACAGGUCAAAACAGAAUCAGUUUUUCCCCCUUUGUAUUUUCUAGAGUGAUUUCUGAUGUUAUUAUGUGAUGGAACUGUCAACAAAUAACUCGCUAACGUGCUGCUGCUAGAAACAGGCCCUAAUGUAAUCGGCUAGCUGAACGUGUUGUAACGCUUACCUUGUCAACUAGUUUGGGUUUCUGCUGGAUAUACAGUGUGAAGGAGUAUAUGGUUAGUUGAAUACCAACAGACAUUGCGGAAAAGCACUCUCAAGUGUCCUCAAGGUUCAGCUGGAAAUUCCUUGGCUCUGUUCCUGGCUGUGUUUGCCAACUGUUCCCUCUUAAGCUCCUCUGGUUUAAAAUGGGAAUUGUCAAACACAGCUACUUCUCUCCUCAGACAGCUGUCACUCGCUAAAUGAGCUGUCUGCACCCCGCACUUCUCCGUUAGAGCAAUGGGCUACUGUAGCAACACUGGGCUAAACCUUUAGGGGCGACCGAAUCAAUGAAACGGGACAUGAAAGUACAUCAACGAAACGAGACAUAAAAACAUUUUAUUUCACUUCGCUGCCAACUUAUUUCAGAAGUUAUCCCUGCCUGUUCGAUUGGGUAUUCGGCAGGUCUUUUUCAUACACUGAUAAUGAAAUGUUCAUUUCUCCUCUGUUUGCUUUUUUUGAAUACUAAAAUAUAUAUAAAUGGUUAAGGUUAUUCCACUGCCCUUUCUACUGGUCUGUUGAACACAAAAAAUAUUGUAAACUGACAUGCUGAAGGAGUGGGUGGGAAGCAGAGACAGCCGACCCUGGACACCACAGCAGGAUGCCGACGAGUCGGAGUAACUUAGCAACAUCAUUGAUGAACCACCAAAGGCACACUUGUCUGUUUUCAAAUUCAGAAAGACACGGAGUUCAACGGUUUUCCCCCAAGUCGUUCCUUAAUAUUCAUAAAGCGUCUCCGAGUCAAAGCGCUGAUCAAGGAUAAUGUCCUGCCGUCUAUGUAAUAUUCAUUAUGAUCCAUGUCAAAAUCUCCCACUCAGAGACACUUGGGAUAUGACUCCAGAGGCUUCCAGUUUAGCCUUUAAACAGACAGAUGCCCAGAGCCUCUCCAUUCCUGGGGUUGCAAGUGAACCGGGCUCCAUCGUAACUAUUCGGUCAGGUCACACAUCUCCUUCGUUCAGCACAGUAGGUGUGUCUGUCUGUUCCCGUCAGCCUGAAGCUCUCGCAGAUCAAUGUCCCAUCAGUUCUCUGCUGCUCACCCAGCUGUCAAGGUCUCCCUCUACACACACACUCAGACGCUGUGGGGGUCGGGUAUUUGGCUGCGCAACCUGGCGUGAGCUCACAGGCUCCAAACUGUUUCGCUGUGGGGGCGGUGUCGGCGUGGCAACGCAGUAGCCUGACCGCAAAAUUACAUUUACAUUGGUAAAACCAAGGACGUGGAACUAGCUUCCUUGGCUGGACUUGGUAGAGUUCAAGACAUACGCUCAAAACCGCUGAAGCAGCUUCAUCUGGUGGUGGACACAUACUGCCAGGACCAUGAACCACUGCAGCCUCCUGACCAUCCACCAUGUGUCCGACCUACUGUUUAUCUCCACGUUGGGUCCUCCCUGUCACAAAUGGGACCCAACACCCCACGUGAAGAUAUGGUUUUGGUUAAAAGAAAAAUUUAACUGUGUACUGACAAAAUAGGUGGUGGAAUUUGGUGACUUCCAAUUUGAAUUGGGUUAGCUAAUAUCUAGGCAGUUGUCUUGCUAACUUGAACAUACACUUUGUUAAAUUUUGUUUGUUUUUAGUAUGCCUUCAGGGACUGUGUCAUUCAUGUUCUCUAACAUUGGCAUCAAUAGUUUGCACUUGUUGCAAAAAAAGCAUUCCAUUUCAGUUGGCAUUAGAUUGCAUGAUCCACAACUACACCACCAUUCUCCAGAUAUUCUGGCCUAGGGUUGGGGAUUAACUUGUUCACCAUCACCCCCCUCAGCUGCUGUCCAAGCCUCUAGUUCGGUCAAUUCAUCCUCUGUGUAUUCUGGUUCGAACAAGCAAGGCUCUAUCCCCCCAAAAGUGUUCUUCCUGGUCGUAUUCAGUCAGACAUACAUAUCAAGCAAAUAAAGUAUCACUGUUGGGGGUGAAUAUCUACGACACAAUGGGUAACUUGCUUUCUAGGUAACGAAUGCUAACUUGUUUACUGUGACCAAUUGUGAAGUGUACACUUGCGCUUGCCAAAAGAUCAAUAAAAGAUGGGUACUUUGUGUUUACAGUCA